CCUACGGGCGGCUGCAGUGGGGAAUAUUGGACAAUGGGGGCAACCCUGAUCCAGCCAUGCCGCGUGUGUGAAGAAGGCCCUCGGGUUGUAAAGCACUUUCAGUGAGGAAGAACGCCUGGUGGUUAAUACCCAUCAGGAAAGACAUCACUCACAGAAGAAGCACCGGCUAACUCCGUGCCAGCAGCCGCGGUAAUACGGAGGGUGCGAGCGUUAAUCGGAAUUACUGGGCGUAAAGCGCGCGUAGGUGGCUUGAUAAGCCGGUUGUGAAAGCCCCGGGCUCAACCUGGGAACGGCAUCCGGAACUGUCAAGCUAGAGUGCAGGAGAGGAAGGUAGAAUUCCCGGUGUAGCGGUGAAAUGCGUAGAGAUCGGGAGGAAUACCAGUGGCGAAGGCGGCCUUCUGAACUGACACUGACACUGAGGUGCGAAAGCGUGGGUAGCAAACAGGAUUAGAUACCCUGGUAGUC
Molecule: ribosomal RNA, 465 nt
Filed under: Vreelandella stevensii
Lineage: Bacteria; Pseudomonadati; Pseudomonadota; Gammaproteobacteria; Oceanospirillales; Halomonadaceae
Description: partial 16S ribosomal RNA
Rfam family: Bacterial small subunit ribosomal RNA
Source: RNAcentral